Molecule: ribosomal RNA, 274 nt
Filed under: uncultured bacterium
Lineage: Bacteria
Description: partial 16S ribosomal RNA
Rfam family: Bacterial small subunit ribosomal RNA
Source: RNAcentral
UACGGAGGGGGCAAGCGUUGUUCGGAAUUACUGGGCGUAAAGCGCGCGUAGGCGGCGAUGCAAGUCAGAGGUGAAAUGCCCGGGCUCAACCUGGGAGGUGCCUUUGAUACUGUGUUGCUUGGAUCCAGGAGAGGUGAGCGGAAUUCCGAGUGUAGAGGCGAAAUUCGAUAGAUAUUUGGAAGAACACCGGUGGCGAAGGCGGCUACCUGGUCCGAUACUGACGCUGAGGUGCGAAAGCGUGGGGAGCGAACAGGAUUAGAUACCCGCGUAGUCC